Molecule: ribosomal RNA, 254 nt
Filed under: uncultured bacterium
Lineage: Bacteria
Description: partial 16S ribosomal RNA
Rfam family: Bacterial small subunit ribosomal RNA
Source: RNAcentral
UACGUAGGGGUCUAGCGUUGUCCGGAAUCAUUGGGCGUAAAGAGCUCGUAGGCGGUUCGGCAAGUCGGAUGUGAAAUCUCCACGCUCAACGUGGAGGGGCCAUUCGAAACUGCCGUGACUCGAGUCCGGUAGGGGAGUGCGGAAUUCCCGGUGUAGCGGUGAAAUGCGCAGAUAUCGGGAGGAACACCAAUGGCGAAGGCAGCUCGCUGGGACGUGACUGACGCUGAGACGCGAAAGCGUGGGGAGCAAACAGG